RNAcentral lists this ribosomal RNA (253 nucleotides) under uncultured bacterium. RNAcentral describes it as "partial 16S ribosomal RNA". It matches the Rfam family "Bacterial small subunit ribosomal RNA", at positions 524 to 776 of the family's 1533-position model. The record is from RNAcentral.
UACGUAGGGUGCGAGCGUUGUCCGGAAUUAUUGGGCGUAAAGAGCUCGUAGGCGGUCCGUCGCGUCGAAUGUGAAAACCCGGGGCUCAACUCCGGGCUUGCAUUCGAUACGGGCGGACUAGAGUUCGGUAGGGGAGACUGGAAUUCCUGGUGUAGCGGUGAAAUGCGCAGAUAUCAGGAAGAACACCCGUGGCGAAGGCGGCUCUCUGGAACGCAACUGACGCUGAGACGCGAAAGCGUGGGGAGCAAACAGG